AUACUGCGGGCCUUGGGACCGGGAGAGGCGGAGGGUACCCCUGGGGUAGGGGUGAAAUCCUAUAAUCCCAGGGGGACCGCCAGUGGCGAAGGCGCUCCGCUGGAACGGGUCCGACGGUGAGGGACGAAGGCCAGGGGAGCGAACCGGAUUAGAUACCCGGGUAGUCCUGGCUGUAAAGGAUGCGGGCUAGGUGUCGGGCGAGCUUCGAGCUCGCCCGGUGCCGAAGGGAAGCCGUUAAGCCCGCCGCCUGGGGAGUACGGCCGCAAGGCUGAAACUUAAAGGAAUUGGCGGGGGAGCACUACAAGGGGUGGAGCGUGCGGUUUAAUUGGAUUCAACGCCGGGAACCUCACCGGGGGCGACGGCAGGAUGAAGGCCAGGCUGAAGGUCUUGCCGGACACGCCGAGAGGAGGUGCAUGGCCGCCGUCAGCUCGUACCGUGAGGCGUCCACUUAAGUGUGGUAACGAGCGAGACCCGCGCCCCCAGUUGCCAGUCCUCCCCGCUGGGGAGGAGGCACUCUGGGGGGACCGCCGGCGAUAAGCCGGAGGAAGGAGCGGGCGACGGUAGGUCAGUAUGCCCCGAAACCCCCGGGCUACACGCGCGCUACAAUGGGCGGGACAAUGGGAUCCGACCCCGAAAGGGGAAGGGAAUCCCCUAAACCCGCCCCCAGUUCGGACCGCGGGCUGCAACUCGCCCGCGUGAAGCUGGAAUCCCCAGUACCCGCGUGUCAU
Molecule: ribosomal RNA, 728 nt
Filed under: uncultured archaeon
Lineage: Archaea
Description: bacterial SSU rRNA
Rfam family: Archaeal small subunit ribosomal RNA
Source: RNAcentral